Non-coding RNA from Oryza glumipatula, 210 nucleotides. The record is from Rfam. NCBI's taxonomy places the organism in Eukaryota, Viridiplantae, Streptophyta, Magnoliopsida, Poales, Poaceae.
AAUAAGUGCAGUUUUGCACUAUUCAUGUCCAACGUUUGACCGUUCGUCUUAUUUGAAAAUUUUUUGUGAUUAAUAUUUUUAUUGUUAUUAGAUGAUAAAACAUGAAUAAUACUUUAUGGGUGACUAUUUAUUUUUAGUUUUUUUUCAUAAAUUUUUCAAAUAAGACGAACGGUCAAACGUUGGACAUGGAUCUCCACGACUGCACUUAUU